AAGUCGUAAAUUGAAUGCUGUAAAAUUUUGAUUGAUGAGCUAGUGAAAACUAAUUGGAUUGAUUGUCGAUCUAAAAAAUAAUUAAUUGUAAGGUUUUAAUUAGUAAGCUAGAAAAAACCAAUUAUGUUGGAUUGUAAAUAUGUGAAAAUAAUCAAACUAUAAUCUUAUAUGAUUAUAAUUAAAAUUUUCAAGUAGAUUGAUUUGGGGAA
This 209-nucleotide long non-coding RNA is filed under the name Elaeis guineensis (African oil palm). RNAcentral describes it as "long non-coding RNA (EGUI_LNC056219)". Lineage: Eukaryota; Viridiplantae; Streptophyta; Magnoliopsida; Arecales; Arecaceae. The record is from RNAcentral.